AACGAACGCUGGCGGCGUGCCUAACNCAUGCAAGUCGAGCGAGAAGCUCCUUCGGGAGUGAGUAAAGCGGCGCACGGGUGAGUAACACGUAGGUAACCUACCCUCGAGCCUGGGAUAACCUACCGAAAGGUGGGCUAAUACCGGAUAUGACCCACGGGAGCCACGGCUCCUGCGGUGAAAGAUGGCCUAAGCUUGCAAGCUAUCACUUGAGGAUGGGCCUGCGCACCAUUAGCUAGUUGGCGGGUAAUGCCACCAAGGCUAUGAUGGUUAGCUGGUCUGAGAGGAUGGCCAGCACACUGGGACUGAAACACGGCCCAGACUCUACGGGGGGCAGCAGUGGGGGAUAUU
Molecule: ribosomal RNA, 348 nt
Filed under: uncultured bacterium
Lineage: Bacteria
Description: bacterial SSU rRNA
Rfam family: Bacterial small subunit ribosomal RNA
Source: RNAcentral